Long non-coding RNA from Oryza sativa Japonica Group (Japanese rice), 614 nucleotides. RefSeq lists it as uncharacterized. NCBI's taxonomy places the organism in Eukaryota, Viridiplantae, Streptophyta, Magnoliopsida, Poales, Poaceae. The record is from RefSeq and is a predicted model, not a curated record.
UACCUCUCCACCUCUUCCUUAUCCUCUUAUAUCUCCACAUCGCUCCAGUUCCUCUUUCUCUCUGCAGUGAUGAGCGGCCUCCCUUUCUCUCAUGUGCGGCAAUGCAAUAACUCGAUGGUGGUGACAAGCGAAGCGGCACAGCUCGAACGGAUGGUGCCAGAGCAAGCGGGAAAAGGCGCCUCCGUCACCUCCCCUCAGCGGCGCCUCCCCGACGGCUCGAUGGGACAUCGACGGAACGAGUCGCGGCGGCCUUCCAUCCUCUCCUGUGUGGUGGAGGUCAUUUUCAGGGUAACUUAUUGGCUCCGGUUUUGGGCACAACUACAAAGAUGUGAUGAAGAUGAAGAGUUGCUGAAAGUUGCAUGCCAAAAGUUGGAGACUACGGUUAUCUAAUUUUUUACCAAUUAUGGUUGGAGAUUUACAAAUAGACUUCAAUAAUUGUGAUCUCCUUACGUUAGAUGGUUUCUUUGUUUUUCUCUUCAGUGUGUUCUAUUAAUUUAGAUUUACACUAUGUUCAUAAAAACUACUAUGUAAUAAUUGGCUGUAACUCUUUUGAGUAAAUACCGGGAUAUUAUAUUUCAUUAUUAAAAAAAAUAGUGCUUUGUAGCGGAAAAAAA